ACCAGGAGGGAACGGGACAGCCGGGAGCGGACCGUACUCAGGGAACCUACCCUGGAGACUUCACCCGGACGCUGGGCGCCUCGGACUGCAGAACCAGGAAUUUUGGAGAGAAUUUGCUCUGAAAUCUGGUGAAUAUACCUUUCAAGAUCACUCCACGGUUGCUUUUGGAGUCAUUUGUGUGUUGCAGAUAUCUCACUCUUCCCUCCAGACAUAAGGAAGUGGAAGUGGCUUUGUACAGACACUGGACAUGAACUGGGAAUUCUCAAGGAACACCAGUGGGGGGAGAAUUUUAAGGUUUAUUGCUUCCUUCCUUUUGUAAAUACAGCCAAACUCCAGGAAAGGGAUAACCCACUCUAUUGAUUUAAAUAGACUUCAUUUCAAAGUGUGAGGGAGCUACCUGCUCACAGUGGGUACAUCUACAC
Pelodiscus sinensis (Chinese soft-shelled turtle) is the source of this 422-nucleotide long non-coding RNA. RefSeq lists it as uncharacterized. Lineage: Eukaryota; Metazoa; Chordata; Testudines; Trionychidae. The record is from RefSeq and is a predicted model, not a curated record.